Molecule: ribosomal RNA, 584 nt
Filed under: uncultured bacterium
Lineage: Bacteria
Description: partial 16S ribosomal RNA
Rfam family: Bacterial small subunit ribosomal RNA
Source: RNAcentral
UGGGGAAUAUUGGACAAUGGGCGCAAGCCUGAUCCAGCCAUGCCGCGUGGGUGAAGAAGGCCUUCGGGUUGUAAAGCCCUUUUGUUGGGAAAGAAAAGCAGUCGGUUAAUACCCGAUUGUUCUGACGGUACCCAAAGAAUAAGCACCGGCUAACUUCGUGCCAGCAGCCGCGGUAAUACGAAGGGUGCAAGCGUUACUCGGAAUUACUGGGCGUAAAGCGUGCGUAGGUGGUUUGUUAAGUCUGAUGUGAAAGCCCUGGGCUCAACCUGGGAAUUGCAUUGGAUACUGGCAGGCUGGAGUGCGGUAGAGGGUAGUGGAAUUCCCGGUGUAGCAGUGAAAUGCGUAGAGAUCGGGAGGAACAUCCGUGGCGAAGGCGACUACCUGGACCAGCACUGACACUGAGGCACGAAAGCGUGGGGAGCAAACAGGAUUAGAUACCCUGGUAGUCCACGCCCUAAAACGAUGCGAACUGGAUGUUGGGUUCAAUUAGGAACUCAGUAUCGAAGCUAACGCGUUAAAGUUCGCCGCCUGGGGAGUACGGUCGCAAGACUGAAAACUUAAAUGAAUUGACGGGGUCAUAGCUG